CGCGUAGGCGGUCUGUUAAGCGUGAAGUGAAAUCUCCAGGGCUCAACCCGGAAACUGCUUUGCGAACUGGCAGACUAGAGGAAGGUAGAGGUAAGUGGAAUUCCCGGUGUAGCGGUGACAUGCAUUGAUACCGAGAGGAACACCCAUGGCGAAGGCAGCUUACUGGACCUUAUCUGACGCUGAGGCGCGAAAGCGUGGGUAGCAAACA
RNAcentral lists this ribosomal RNA (208 nucleotides) under uncultured bacterium. Its description in RNAcentral is "partial 16S ribosomal RNA". It matches the Rfam family "Bacterial small subunit ribosomal RNA", at positions 568 to 774 of the family's 1533-position model. The record is from RNAcentral.